AUGAGUUAAGUAUAAACCCCUUUACAAGUAACAAUUGGAGGGCAAGUCUGGUGCCAGCAGCCGCGGUAAUUCCAGCUCCAAUAGCGUAUAUUAAAGUUGUUGCAGUUAAAAAGCUCGUAGUUGGAUUUCUGUUAAUAAUUUAUAUUAUAAUGCAUUUAUUGUAUAUGAUAUGAUAUUAACACAAUUCAUAUUACUAUUUAUUUAGUAUAUGAAAUUUUACUUUGAGAAAAUUAGAGUGCUUAAAGCAGGCAAUAGCCUUGAAUACUAGAGCAUGGAAUAAUAAUAAAAGAUUUUUAUCUUUUUUUUAUUGGUUCUAAGAUAAAAAUAAUGAUUAAUAGGGACAGUUGGGGGCAUUUGUAUUUAACAGUUAGAGGUGAAAUUCUUAGAUUUGUUAAAGACAAACUAAUGCGAAAGCAUUUGCCAAGGAUGUUUUCAUUAAUCAAGAACGAAAGUUAGGGGAUCGAAGACGAUCAGAUACCGUCGUAGU
RNAcentral lists this ribosomal RNA (487 nucleotides) under Cryptosporidium sp. vole genotype IV. Its description in RNAcentral is "SSU rRNA". It matches the Rfam family "Eukaryotic small subunit ribosomal RNA", at positions 514 to 1024 of the family's 1831-position model. The record is from RNAcentral. Lineage: Eukaryota; Apicomplexa; Conoidasida; Eucoccidiorida; Cryptosporidiidae.